UUCCAGCUCCAAUAGCGUAUAUUAAAAUUGUUGCAGUUAAAACGCUCGUAGUUGAAUUUCAAAGAAUCGAUAUUUUAUUGUAACUAUAUUAGGGGAACUAUUUUAGCUUCCGCUUUAAUACGUUUCCUCUAUUAUUAUGUUCUUUAAAUAACAAAGAUUCUUUUUAAAAUCCCCACUUUGCUUUUAUGCUUUUUGGGGAUUUUGUUACUUUGAGUAAAUUAGAGUGUUCAAAGCAAACAGUUAAAGCAUUUUACUGUGUUUGAAUACUAUAGCAUGGAAUAACAAAAUUGAACAGGCUGAAAUUUUUUGUUCUUUUUUCUUAUUUUGGCUUAGUUACGAUUAAUAGGAGUAGCUUGGGGACAUUCGUAUUCAGAUGUC
RNAcentral lists this ribosomal RNA (378 nucleotides) under Plasmodium reichenowi. RNAcentral's name for it is "SSU rRNA". It matches the Rfam family "Eukaryotic small subunit ribosomal RNA", at positions 583 to 906 of the family's 1831-position model. Lineage: Eukaryota; Apicomplexa; Aconoidasida; Haemosporida; Plasmodiidae. The record is from RNAcentral.